AUGUCCACCGCCUGCCAGCCACAGCCUCCCACAAGUCACCUCACCUGUCCCUGCCUCCUGUGUCACCCGGGAGGAGGAGCAGAGGGCAUGGAGCCGCCCAGAACUGUCCUGAGGCCACACAGAGAGGGUCAAGACCGGUCACCCUGGGAGGGUGGCACAGACGCAGGAGUCGCUGGACCGAGCUCAGGUGCCGGCUUUUGGACCCCACUGCUGGGACAUGAGGACCGCUCACAGGCUGCCCAGGGUAGAGCAAGGCCCCCGCUCCUGCCCAGAGCCCAGGACAUAUCCCAAGGGCUGGCGCCAUCAGGAGGAGAGAAGAGCUCUCUCAGGUCACGGACAAAAAGCUGUGUGGCCUCGGCCACUGGUUUCCAUGAUGCUCCGCAAACACCAGGAGUCCCAGGAGGACACAACCGGAAACAAGCGGAGGGUUACAAGUCUGACCAAAGGACAAGGGAGGAAUUAUUCUCAGCAGAGUCUGGGCCAGGCCGGAAGGAGAGAGCCAGACAUCUCCAGGUAGAGCGGCUUCCUGCUGUUCCCGGGCAAAUCAAAGCGCAGCGCCGCUCCACCCCGCAGCCCCCUGCGGCGCCUGACCCAGCCCUUUCAAGUGCAGCGGCCACGGGCCGGCAAAGCACACAACCGGAACCCGCCGCGCAAGGCAAAGGCUUGGAAUGAAACCGUCUCGCGAUGACAAUGCUUGUUCUUCUUUAAACUCGGCUCGAGAACAAAUGGCUUUUUUUUUUCUCUCCAGUGGAAAGACUGGACUGUGGCUUUCAUCCGUAGAGGCCUUGAUUUGGGGGGACCUCUCUUCUCACCCCCGGGGUGGGGAGAAACGGAGGUCUGCAGUCUGCCCCAGCUGGAAGGCCCAGGGCCUGGGCCUGGGGCUGCUCGGGCUCAGGGCCUGGGGGAGGGUUCGCUUUUAUCCUGCAGCACAGAAUAGGCAGUGCGCUGGGGUAAGCAUGCCAUCCUGGAGGGAACCUCCCUGCUCCCGCCCCUCAACCUGCUCUCCUGGAGGGCCCCUUGGGUCGGAGGGCGGGGAGCAGGCUCAGCGGAAGGCGGCAUGAGAGGCAGCCGAGGCCUGGGAUGACUCAGGAUAACGCCCGAGGGCUCGGGGUCAGAAGCUGCUGACCGCUGGGCUGUGAAGAAGCCGUCACACCUGGCCGAGGUGGCGCAGUAGACUUGAAACAGGGGAAGGUGGACAGGCCAGGUGGGCACUGCCUCGCUUCCCUCUGUCCAGCCCUGAGCCCACCCCCAGUCCACUCCCCAGGGAACCUUCUGCCGUGAAAGUCACCCCAGCUGGGGGAGCAGGAAGACCCCGGGGUGGGGGGACGGGAGGUUCCCCGGGGGGAGCCCUGCAGACGGCCCAGCCCAGCCAUUCCUCUGAGGGUCUGGUCUCUGGGCUGCAGCGCCUCCGGCCUCCAGCUGUGGGCUCUGUGCAGAGCGGACCCCCUCCCCCUGCCUGUGUCCUGGCUGUCCGGAGGGCAGGGGCCCCAGCACACUGGGCCUCGGCCCCCCAGGCUGGAACAGCCCAGCCCAGCUCCCAAGCCGCGUGCCCUGGCCACCCCCUAGACUGGUCCCCUGUGGGGAGAGAGGUUCUCCCAGCUGGGCCAUCAGCCAUUCUGUUCAAGUGCAGAGACGAAGGAGGCAGGGAGGGGUCAGGGAGGGAGAGCUGGAC
Oryctolagus cuniculus (rabbit) is the source of this 1672-nucleotide long non-coding RNA. The record is from Ensembl. Lineage: Eukaryota; Metazoa; Chordata; Mammalia; Lagomorpha; Leporidae.